CUAUACAUGCAGUCGAGCGGACAGAAGGGAGCUUGCUCCCGGAUGUUAGCGGCGGACGGGUGAGUAACACGUGGGUAACCUGCCUGUAAGACUGGGAUAACUCCGGGAAACCGGAGCUAAUACCGGAUAGUUCCUUGAACCGCAUGGUUCAAGGAUGAAAGACGGUUUCGGCUGUCACUUACAGAUGGACCCGCGGCGCAUUAGCUAGUUGGUGGGGUAAUGGCUCACCAAGGCGACGAUGCGUAGCCGACCUGAGAGGGUGAUCGGCCACACUGGGACUGAGACACGGCCCAGACUCCUACGGGAGGCAGCAGUAGGGAAUCUUCCGCAAUGGACGAAAGUCUGACGGAGCAACGCCGCGUGAGUGAUGAAGGUUUUCGGAUCGUAAAGCUCUGUUGUUAGGGAAGAACAAGUGCGAGAGUAACUGCUCGCACCUUGACGGUACCUAACCAGAAAGCCACGGCUAACUACCUGCCAGCAGCCGCGGUAAUACGUAGGUGGCAAGCGUUGUCCGGAAUUCUUGGGCGUAAAGGGCUCGCAGGCGGUUUCUUAAGUCUGAUGUGAAAGCCCCCGGCUCAACCGGGGAGGGUCAUUGGAAACUGGGAAACUUGAGUGCAGAAGAGGAGAGUGGAAUUCCACGUGUAGCGGUGAAAUGCGUAGAGAUGUGGAGGAACACCAGUGGCGAAGGCGACUCUCUGGUCUGUAACUGACGCUGAGGAGCGAAAGCGUGGGGAGCGAACAGGAUUAGAUACUCUGGUAGUCCACGCCGUAAACGAUGAGUGCUAAGUGUUAGGGGGUUUCCGCCCCUUAGUGCUGCAGCUAACGCAUUAAGCACUCCGCCUGGGGGAGUACGGUCGCAAGACUGAAACUCA
RNAcentral lists this ribosomal RNA (872 nucleotides) under Bacillus safensis. RNAcentral's name for it is "bacterial SSU rRNA". It matches the Rfam family "Bacterial small subunit ribosomal RNA", at positions 49 to 903 of the family's 1533-position model. The record is from RNAcentral. Lineage: Bacteria; Bacillati; Bacillota; Bacilli; Caryophanales; Bacillaceae.